This 468-nucleotide ribosomal RNA is filed under the name uncultured bacterium. Its description in RNAcentral is "partial 16S ribosomal RNA". It matches the Rfam family "Bacterial small subunit ribosomal RNA", at positions 28 to 507 of the family's 1533-position model. The record is from RNAcentral.
GACGAACGCUGGCGGCGUGCUUAACACAUGCAAGUUGAACGGAAAGGCCCUGCUUUUGUGGGGUGCUCGAGUGGCGAACGGGUGAGUAACACGUGAGUAACCUGCCCUUGACUUUGGGAUAACUUCAGGAAACUGGGGCUAAUACCGGAUAGGAGCUCCUGCUGCAUGGUGGGGGUAGGAAAGUUUCGGCGGUUGGGGAUGGACUCGCGGCUUAUCAGCUUGUUGGUGGGGUAGUGGCUUACCAAGGCUUUGACGGGUAGCCGGCCUGAGAGGGUGACCGGCCUCAUUGGGACUAAGAGACGGCCCAGACUCCUACGGGAGGCAGCGGGGGGGAAUAUUGCACAGUGGGCGGAAGCCUGAUGCAGCAACGCCGCGUGCGGGAUGACGGCCUUCGGGUUGUAAACCGCUUUCGCCUGUGACGAAGCGUGAGUGACGGUAAUGGGUAAAGAAGCACCGGCUAACUACGUG